Molecule: microRNA precursor, 276 nt
Filed under: Medicago truncatula (barrel medic)
Lineage: Eukaryota; Viridiplantae; Streptophyta; Magnoliopsida; Fabales; Fabaceae
Description: MIR2655 microRNA precursor family
Rfam family: MIR2655 microRNA precursor family
Source: Rfam by way of RNAcentral
CCCUUAACUAUUAAAAGUUUUGUUUUGGUCCCUUAACUUACUUUUUGGUUUCGUUUUGGUCCCUUAACUAUUAAAAGUUUUGUUUUGGUCCUUUAACUUAUUUUUUGGUUUUGUUUUGGUCCUUUAUGUUAGAAUGAAUGUAUUAGAGUUAAGGGACCAAAACGAAACCAAAAAAUAAGUUAAGGAACCAAAACGAAACUUUUAAUAGUUAAGGGACCAAAAGAAAACCCAAAAAUAAGUUAUGGAACCGAAACGAAACUUUUAAUAGUUAAGGAA